AACCGCCGUAUGCCGAACGGCACAUACGGUGGUGUGAGAGGUCGGUAAUCAAAAUAAUUGAUUACCUCCUACUCGAU
RNAcentral lists this unclassified non-coding RNA (77 nucleotides) under Clostridium sp. DSM 8431. The record is from RNAcentral. Lineage: Bacteria; Bacillati; Bacillota; Clostridia; Eubacteriales; Clostridiaceae.